This 72-nucleotide transfer RNA is filed under the name Toxocara canis (dog roundworm). It matches the Rfam family "tRNA". Rfam says of the family: Transfer RNA (tRNA) molecules are approximately 80 nucleotides in length. The record is from Rfam by way of RNAcentral. Lineage: Eukaryota; Metazoa; Nematoda; Chromadorea; Rhabditida; Toxocaridae.
GCGGCGAUAGCUCAGCGGUAGAGUCACCGCUUUGCGUACGGGGGCACCCGGGUUCGAUUCCCGGCUGCUUCC